RNAcentral lists this long non-coding RNA (221 nucleotides) under Daucus carota (carrot). RNAcentral describes it as "long non-coding RNA (DCAR_LNC003549)". The record is from RNAcentral. Lineage: Eukaryota; Viridiplantae; Streptophyta; Magnoliopsida; Apiales; Apiaceae.
UGAUUGAUUGAUAAAUCAGAAGAGUUUGUUCGGAGAAUGUUCUUUCUACUCGGAGAAUUCUUGUUCGGCUGGUCAACACGAAUUUAUUAAAUUCGUGGUAGAGAUGAAAGUUACUAUCUGGUAAGGCAGAUAGUAGGGUUCCAGUGUUAAACCCUGAUGCUAGCAAAGAGAGUGUUGGUGUGUCUUUAGUGGUGACGAUCAGACCACUAGGACUACACAGG